CAGUAGCCGCGGUAAAACGUAGGGGGCGAGCGUUGUCCGAAGUUACUGGGCGUAAAGAGCGCGUAGGCUGGUCUUUAAGUGAGUGGUGAAAGGUUCGGGCUCAACCCGGACACUGCCUUUCAUACUGGGGACCUUGAGUGUGGGAGAGGCGAGUGGAAUGGUCGGUGUAGCGGUGAAAUGCGUAGAUAUCGAUCGGAACACCCAUGGCGAAGGCAGCUCGCUGGCCUAACACUGACGCUGAGGCGCGAAAGCGUGGGGAGCAAACAGGAUUAGAUACCCCCGUAGUCCCUGUCUCUUAUAC
This 301-nucleotide ribosomal RNA is filed under the name uncultured bacterium. RNAcentral's name for it is "partial 16S ribosomal RNA". It matches the Rfam family "Bacterial small subunit ribosomal RNA", at positions 509 to 807 of the family's 1533-position model. The record is from RNAcentral.